UACAGAGGUCUCAAGCGUUGUUCGGAUUCAUUGGGCGUAAAGGGCGCGUAGGCGGCGGGGUAAGUCUGGUGUGAAAUCUCGGAGCUCAACUCCGAAAUUGCACUGGAUACUGCUCUGCUUGAGGGUUGGAGAGGAGAUCGGAAUUCACGGUGUAGCAGUGAAAUGCGUAGAUAUCGUGAGGAAGACCAGUGGCGAAGGCGGAUCUCUGGACAGUUCCUGACGCUGAGGCACGAAAGCGUGGGGAGCAAACAGG
This 253-nucleotide ribosomal RNA is filed under the name uncultured bacterium. RNAcentral's name for it is "partial 16S ribosomal RNA". It matches the Rfam family "Bacterial small subunit ribosomal RNA", at positions 524 to 776 of the family's 1533-position model. The record is from RNAcentral.